GACAGACUGCGGCACGCCAGCGAUGGUGAUGGCCCGCUCGGUGGAGUUGGGCAGCAUAUCCCCCGCCACCUGGACCUGCGCCCCCGUACUCUCGCGGAUCUCUUUGAUCUUACACCCGCCUUUCCCAAUCAGGGAGCCGCACUGGGUGGCCGGCACCACCAGCCUCAGGGUGACCGGGGGCCUGCUGGCCGCGGUACUGUUGGUCAUGGAGCUGUUGAUAUCUUCCUCCAGCUUGUCGAUGAUCAUAGCGAAAGCCUUAAAGAUGGCAUUGGUGGGGCCGGUCAGAGUGAUGAUUCUCUCCGGACAAUUCCCCUCCGAGAUGUUGAUCCGCGCGCCACUCUCCUCGCGGAUCCUCUUAACCGACUCCCCUUUCUUCCCAAUGAUGCUUCCUACUUCCUUUCCGUGCAUAAGAAGCCGAAUGAGGAAGACAAACAUAAAGAUGAAGUGCUUAAUUCAAGGUCACACAAUGUCGGGGAUGGACCUCCAGAUUUCCUUACUGGUGAGACGUGGUCUUGUAACACAGUGGUUAAGAAUGUGACUUUGGAGCCAGCCUGCUAGGGGCUGAAUUCUGACUCAGCCAUUUACUAACUGUGUGACCUUAGGGAGGAGGACCUGGUUGAUAGAAGAAUUUAUCUCGUAGUCUUAACAUCCACUGUAAUUCCAAACUUUGAGGACGAUAGAGAUCAGUGGGCUUUGACUGCCCAGCAUGCAGUCUCCAUUCUUAGGUGGGUUCCCAAGCCUGUAAAAUGUAAGCCUUAUGCUGCUGAGGGCCAUCUUGCCACCCUGAGGGAAACGCUGCCUGAGAAUGAAACAAGCAUAAGUAAAAGCUGAGCUGUGAGAUGGAGCAAGAUGAAGGCCACAUGACAUCUUUGGAGCACCUGGAUCUAACUGUGCCUUAAGCUAGUCUAACCCUGAACAUUUCAUCAUUUCAUUGACAUGAGCCCAGGUUUUCUUUUUUUUUGGAUGGAGUCUUGCUCUGUCGCCCAGGCUGGAGUGCAGUAGCUCAAUCUCGGCUCACUGCAAGCUCCACCUCCCGGGUUCACGCCAUUCUCCUGCCUUAGCCUCCCAAGUAGCUGGGACAACAGGCGCCCACCACCACUCCCAGCUAAUUUUUUGUAUUUUUAGUAGAGACGGGGUUUUACCAUGUUAGCCGGGAUGGUCUUGAUCUCCUGACCUCAUGAUCCGCCCGCCUCGGCCUCCCAAAGUGCUGGGAUUACAGGUGUGAGCCACUGCACCCAGCCCUCAGGUUUUCCCUUUUUUUACCCCUCCUUUUGAAAAUUUGAUGUGGAAUUUUGCCACCUGCAGCCAGAAGAGUUUUAACUAAUCAGUGCCAUAAAUUUUAUAUAGUUCUCCUUGCAAAAUGUGGAUCAGCCUUUCUCAGCAAAUCCUUUGUCAUAAAGUGCUGAAUUGUAAGUUUGUCAUGAGAAUCACAUGAGAUCAUGCAUGUGAAGAACCUGGCAUUAUCCUCCUCAUAGAAAAAAACCAGUAAAUAUUAACUACAGGAAGCAAGGAAGGAGUGGGGUGAGGGGAAGAAGAAGGGGUACUGAUUUAAAAGAACCCUGGAGUCCUAAGGAUAAUCUAGGAACCCUCAGACCCAAUCCGAUACCCCUAUUCUAAAUGCUCCUAGUGCCCUGUACCUUCCCCUCAUAAGCCUUCAUUAUCAUUGUAAUGAUAUGUUUAUGUAAUAUUUUGAUUAAUGUCUCUCCUUCACUGACCUAGCAGUUCUAGCAGGGCAGUGAUUUUGCUGUGUUGCAUCCCCAGCACCUAGUCUGGUAUGUGGCAUUCAGCAUAUGUUUAUUGAAUGAAUGGCCAUGUGGUUAUUCAGAUCCUCCUUGAUUAUUGGGGUUAGGAUUGUGGCAGAAGUGGCAAAAUCAGGGAGAGUAGUCCCUGUCCCCUCUGUAUCUUAUACACUGCCCACACUCCCAACACACAUACACAUACAGAGAAUUUUGUCUCAAUUAGAUAAUUAACUUCUGCUUGGUUGUAAACCAAACCACUGGUUCUUAAACUUUCAUUGGAUCAUUUUAUUGAAGAAUUAAAUAGUGUGGUUCUGGCCUAAUGUCUGGAAAGCCUUGCAGAGGAGUGGAUUAGGUCUUUGUGAUAAACAGGCAGCCUUCCCUGCUCCUGUGUCUUUAUAAAAUCUAUUUAACUGGAGUAGUCCACCCUCCCUCAGGCUCUUACAGGAAUAUGUUGGAGGCUGUAGGAAGGUGGGAAACCGAGAGGGAAAGGACUGGGCCGCUGGAGACUUCACUCAUUCCCUAGCAAGAAACAAAAGCAGUAAAAGGUGGCCCGAGGACAACCUGAAGCUCACUCCUUCAGCACUUUUGGCUGGAGGUCACUUGUUGGAGCCCCACUCAGAGCUCAGCACACCACCCCACCAGCAGCCUCCUCCUCCCAGCUGAGGCUGCAUUUCAUCCCUUCCCCCAGCCUGCUUUCCCUGAGAUAGGGGAGUGUUUCCCAGGGCCCAUGUGACUUCCACUGGCAAGUGACGAUUACCAAUGGUUUACUAGUCAGUGAAACUACCAAAGGCUUUUGUGCUGUAGUAAUCCUUUUCCUGUUUAAAACUCUGGGGAUUUUCUAAUGUUGCCAAUAGUUUUUCAAGUCAGCAAUUACUGUGUGGAUUAUGUAAUGGCUCGGUAUUAAAAAUAGAAAAGACUGGA
This 2660-nucleotide long non-coding RNA is filed under the name Homo sapiens (human). RNAcentral's name for it is "PCBP1 antisense RNA 1, transcript variant 4 (PCBP1-AS1)". Lineage: Eukaryota; Metazoa; Chordata; Mammalia; Primates; Hominidae. The record is from RNAcentral.